GUGGGGAAUAUUGCACAAUGGGGGAAACCCUGAUGCAGCGACGCCGCGUGAAGGAAGAAGGUCUUCGGAUCGUAAACUUCUAUCAGCAGGGAAGAAGACGUGACUGUACCUGACUAAGAAGCCCCGGCUAACUACGUGCCAGCAGCCGCGGUAAUACGUAGGGGGCAAGCGUUAUCCGGAAUCACUGGGUGUAAAGGGUGCGUAGGCGGUAGGGCAAGUCAGAUGUGAAAGCCCGGGGCUCAACUCCGGGACUGCAUUUGAAACUGUCUUACUAGAGUGCAGGAGAGGAAAGCGGAAUUCCUAGUGUAGCGGUGAAAUGCGUAGAUAUUAGGAAGAACACCAGUGGCGAAGGCGGCUUUCUGGACUGUAACUGACGCUGAGGCACGAAAGCGUGGGGAGCGAACAGGAUUAGAAACCCUAGUAGUCC
This 427-nucleotide ribosomal RNA is filed under the name uncultured bacterium. RNAcentral's name for it is "bacterial SSU rRNA". It matches the Rfam family "Bacterial small subunit ribosomal RNA", at positions 354 to 796 of the family's 1533-position model. The record is from RNAcentral.